Molecule: ribosomal RNA, 497 nt
Filed under: uncultured bacterium
Lineage: Bacteria
Description: partial 16S ribosomal RNA
Rfam family: Bacterial small subunit ribosomal RNA
Source: RNAcentral
GAUGAACGCUGGCGGCGUGCCUAAUACAUGCAAGUCGAGCGAACAGACGAGGAGCUUGCCCCUCUGACGUUAGCGGCGGACGGGUGAGUAACACGUGGAUAACCUACCUAUAAGACUGGGAUAACUUCGGGAAACCGGAGCUAAUACCGGAUAAUAUAUUGAACCGCAUGGUUCAAUAGUGAAAGACGGUUUUGCUGUCACUUAUAGAUGGAUCCGCGCCGCAUUAGCUAGUUGGUAAGGUAACGGCUUGCCAAGGCAACGAUGCGUAGCCGACCUGAGAGGGUGAUCGGCCACACUGGAACUGAGACACGGUCCAGACUCCUACGGGAGGCAGCAGUAGGGAAUCUUCCGCAAUGGGCGAAAGCCUGACGGAGCAACGCCGCGUGAGUGAUGAAGGUCUUCGGAUCGUAAAACUCUGUUAUUAGGGAAGAACAAAUGUGCAAGUAACUAUGCACGUCUUGACGGUACCUAAUCAGAAAGCCACGGCUAACUACGUG